Molecule: small nucleolar RNA, 106 nt
Filed under: Eutrema salsugineum
Lineage: Eukaryota; Viridiplantae; Streptophyta; Magnoliopsida; Brassicales; Brassicaceae
Description: Plant small nucleolar RNA R71
Rfam family: Plant small nucleolar RNA R71
About the family: R71 is a member of the C/D box family of snoRNAs containing the C (UGAUGA) and D (CUGA) box motifs. Multiple nearly identical copies of this snoRNA have been identified in Arabidopsis, and it is thought to function as a 2'-O-ribose methylation guide for 18S ribosomal RNA.
Source: Rfam by way of RNAcentral
AAACCAUGAUGAGGGAAGUCUCUUUCAUACUCCUUGAAUCGCUCCCAGGCUUCAUAGAAUGAUUCUAUUGGGCCUUGUUGGAAGCUUUCUAUCUUGUUUAUCAGCU